RNAcentral lists this ribosomal RNA (468 nucleotides) under uncultured bacterium. RNAcentral describes it as "partial 16S ribosomal RNA". It matches the Rfam family "Bacterial small subunit ribosomal RNA", at positions 28 to 507 of the family's 1533-position model. The record is from RNAcentral.
GACGAACGCUGGCGGCGUGCUUAACACAUGCAAGUCGAACGGAAAGGCCCUGCGUUUGCGGGGUGCUCGAUUGGCGAACGGGUGAGUAACACGUGAGUAACCUGCCCUUGACUUUGGGAUAACUCCAGGAAACUGGGGCGAAUACACGAUAUGAGCUCCUGCUCCACGGUGGGGGUUGGAAAGUUUCGGCGGUGGGGGCUGGUCUCGCGGCUUAUCAGCCUGUUGGUGGGGUAGGGGCGUACAAAGGCUUUGACGGGUAGCCGGCCUGAGAGGGUGACCGGCCACCUUGGGCCUGCGGUACGGCCCAGACUCCUACGGGAGGCAGCAGUGGGGAAUCUUGCACAGUGGGCGGAAGCCUGAUGCAGAGACGCCGCGUGCGGGAUGACGGCCUUCGGGUUGUAAACCGCUUUCGCCUGUGACGAAGCGUGAGUGACGGUAAUGGGUAAAGAAGCACCGGCUAACUACGUG